UACGUAGGGUGCAAGCGUUAAUCGGAAUUACUGGGCGUAAAGCGUGCGCAGGCGGUGCUGUAAGACAGAUGUGAAAUCCCCGGGCUCAACCUGGGAACUGCAUUUGUGACUGCAAGGCUAGAGUACGGCAGAGGGGGAUGGAAUUCCGCGUGUAGCAGUGAAAUGCGUAGAUAUGCGGAGGAACACCAAUGGCGAAGGCAAUCCCCUGGGCCUGUACUGACGCUCAUGCACGAAAGCGUGGGGAGCAAACAGG
This 253-nucleotide ribosomal RNA is filed under the name uncultured bacterium. Its description in RNAcentral is "partial 16S ribosomal RNA". It matches the Rfam family "Bacterial small subunit ribosomal RNA", at positions 524 to 776 of the family's 1533-position model. The record is from RNAcentral.